GAUGAACGCUGGCGGCGUGCCUAACACAUGCAAGUCGAACGCUCGCAAGAGAGUGGCGCACGGGUGAGUAACACGUAGCUAAUCUGCCCUCAAGACAAGGAUAACUGUAGGAAACUACUGCUAAUACUUGAUAAGCUUACGGACUGUAGAGGUCUAUAAGAAAGAUUUAUCGCUUGAGGAUGAGGCUGCGCGCCAUCAGCUAGUUGGUAAGGUAAUGGCUUACCAAGGCGACGACGGCUAGGGGACCUGAGAGGGUGACCCCCCACACUGGGACUGAGACACGGCCCAGACUCCUACGGGAGGCAGCAGUGGGGAAUUUUGGACAAUGGGCGCAAGCCUGAUCCAGCCAUGCCGCGUGU
This 359-nucleotide ribosomal RNA is filed under the name uncultured bacterium. Its description in RNAcentral is "bacterial SSU rRNA". It matches the Rfam family "Bacterial small subunit ribosomal RNA", at positions 28 to 404 of the family's 1533-position model. The record is from RNAcentral.